RNAcentral lists this ribosomal RNA (231 nucleotides) under uncultured bacterium. Its description in RNAcentral is "partial 16S ribosomal RNA". It matches the Rfam family "Bacterial small subunit ribosomal RNA", at positions 104 to 334 of the family's 1533-position model. The record is from RNAcentral.
CGGGGUGAGUAACGCGUGGAUAACCUGCCUCACACUGGGGGAUAACAGUUAGAAAUGACUGCUAAUACCGCAUAAGCGCACAGUACCGCAUGGUACGGUGUGAAAAACUCCGGUGGUGUGAGAUGGAUCCGCGUCUGAUUAGCCAGUUGGCGGGUAACGGCCCACCAAAGCGACGAUCAGUAGCCGACCUGAGAGGGUGACCGGCCACAUUGGGACUGAGACACGGCCCAA